ACACCCUUGGCUGCAUAGGGAGAAUGAGGCAAUCAGUGAAAUUCCUCGUUCUCUAGCCUUGGAUGGGGGCAGGGAUUGUCCUAGAGUUGGGGGCAUCUCUGGUCUGUAAGGCAGGGGGAGGGAGUUCCAGGCCCAAGGCUGAGCACCCUGCCCAGUGUCCUGGAUCCCAGCCCCUUCUAGUCUGGAAGGGGUGUCUGCAGACAUGCACCCUGUGAGCUGAAGAAGCAGAGGCAGCUGCAGCACAGGAGACAGGAGAGGCUGCAGAUCAAUGCUCUACUCUGGCCUAUGGUGGCAUUGGGGAUUGAACCUGAAACCUCAGAGCCUCAGCUAUUUCUGCAGCCCCAGGUACCUGUGCUUGUCAAAUCCAUUUAGUCCAGAGUCCAGAGGUGCAGAAAGCUGGGUCAAAAGCCCUGCUGCCCUUCAGGCAUGGACAGAAGGCCAGGGAUGUGGUCCCUUGUUCUGUUCUCCCUUUUGGCAGGGGCUCACGCUGAGCCAACUCUGCACUGCCCCUAACUACCCUCAGGCGUACCCCAAUGAGGUAGAGCAAUCCUGGGAUCUGGAAGUGCCUGAGGGGUAUGGGAUCCGGCUCUACUUCACACAUCUGGACAUAGAGCUGUCAGAAGACUGCGUGUAUGACUCAGUGAGGGACAAAGAAUGAAAAAUCAAAAAAAAAAAAAAAAAAGAACGAAAGAAAAAUCCAGGUUUAACUCCUAUGCUUCUCUCAAAUGCCUUUGGAUAAUUAACCUGCCUGCAUCAUGGAGAAUAAUCGUUUUGACCUUUAUGUAUUGCAUCAAUUCUUGUCAUACCAGCCCCCUACCAUAGGGGCAAGUUGACCUUUAAGAAACCUGCAAUUUCUGACAUAUUUUAAAAUUGUUCUUUGUUUAACUCUCUAUAUAAAACUGUACCCAUCCCCAAAUAAAACGAGUGUUUAUAUGAGAAUACUCCUGAAGUCCUCCUGUCUGGAUCGCGCAGACCUUGAGCUGGUGAGGGAGGAUCAGUGACUUGCCCCCUGGAUGGAUCCCCUCCACAGGAGUGCCAGCACUCUGAAAGACAGAUAAUGGUUGAUUUAGCUUCUGUGUACACUUUAAAAACUGAAAUACAUGAACUUGUGAAAAACGAACAAACUAAACUGAAGUAUCGCUAAACUUUUGUGGGAUCUCUGGUGGUUAUCCUGGGGCUGAGGGUGGGUAUGUUUGGUGGUAUGUGUAGUGUAGGAGCCAUACCCCUGUAGUCCUAUAAUUUUGUAAGACAUUGUCACAAAUAAAAAAUAAAUUAAAAAAGGAACAAGGACAACACUGAACAUUGCAGUGAACACAGACUCUUUUUUUUUUUCUUUCUUUUUUCUUUUACCAGAGCACUGUUCUGCUCUGACUUAUGGUGGUGUGAGGGAUUGAACCUGGGGAAUUUGGAGCUUCAGUUGUAAAAGUCUCUUUGUAUCACCAUUGUAGUAUCUACACCUGCCUCACAGACUCUGUUUAAAAAAAAAUCUGCCUGGGCUGACAGAAUAGCUUACAUGGAUAGUGUGCUAUUUGUUGUGUGCGUGGUCCAGGCUUGAGCUUG
Erinaceus europaeus (western European hedgehog) is the source of this 1560-nucleotide long non-coding RNA. RefSeq lists it as uncharacterized. The transcript is spliced from 5 exons. NCBI's taxonomy places the organism in Eukaryota, Metazoa, Chordata, Mammalia, Eulipotyphla, Erinaceidae. The record is from RefSeq and is a predicted model, not a curated record.